This 497-nucleotide ribosomal RNA is filed under the name uncultured bacterium. Its description in RNAcentral is "partial 16S ribosomal RNA". It matches the Rfam family "Bacterial small subunit ribosomal RNA", at positions 28 to 507 of the family's 1533-position model. The record is from RNAcentral.
GAUGAACGCUGGCGGCGUGCCUAAUACAUGCAAGUCGAGCGAACGGACGAGAAGCUUGCUUUUCUGAUGUUAGCGGCGGACGGGUGAGUAACACGUGGAUAACCUACCUAUAAGACUGGGAUAACUUCGGGAAACCGGAGCUAAUACCGGAUAAUAUUUUGAACCGCAUGGUUCAAAAGUGAAAGACGGUCUUGCUGUCACUUAUAGAUGGAUCCGCGCGUCAUUAGCUAGUUGGUAAGGUAACGGCUUACCAAGGCAACGAUGCAUAGCCGACCUGAGAGGGUGAUAGGCAAAACUGGAACUGAGACACGGUCCAGACUCCUACGGGAGGCAGCAGUAGGGAAUCUUCCGCAAUGGGCGAAAGCCUGACGGAGCAAGGCCGCGGGAGUGAUGAAGGUCUUCGGAUCGUAAAACUCUGUUAUUAGGGAAGAACAGAUGUGUAAGUAACUGUGCACAUCUUGACGGUACCUAAUCAGAAAGCCACGGCUAACUACGUG